This is a long non-coding RNA of Sebastes umbrosus (honeycomb rockfish), 803 nucleotides long. RefSeq lists it as uncharacterized. The transcript is spliced from 2 exons. The record is from RefSeq and is a predicted model, not a curated record. NCBI's taxonomy places the organism in Eukaryota, Metazoa, Chordata, Actinopteri, Perciformes, Sebastidae.
UUUCACAAAUAACCAAAUACUUCAUCUCUUGGCACAUCAGCACCACGUUAUCAUCAGUAUCAGGACCUGGAAAAGAUUGUGCAAGAAACUGCGUUCAUUCCGAAGAGAGAACCACACGGACCUGAUAGGGGAAACUGACUCUUUUGUGGAGGUGGAAAUUAAUUUUUUUCUCAUAAACUUCUGACUUUAUUCUCGUAAUAUUACAACUUUUUUUGUCCUCAAUGUUGCCCUAAAACUCCGUCGUAUCGUCGCACCAUAGACCUACAACAAUGAUAGAUGAAAAAUGAAAAUGUAAACAAAAAACAGUUAUUGAUUUCCAUUUUUAAAAAUCCACAGGGAGACACUGGAGAUGAACUAAAGAACUGCAUGUGGCUCCGGAGCCGCGGGUUGCUGACCCCUGUUCUAGUACAAACCCAACAUACAAGUAUGAACCUGGAAAUAAGCCUGAUAUGUUCCCAAGUGUGAAAUGUGCACCAGGUAAAACAAAGUGCUAGUUGUGGAAUAUACUGACACAAAACAUUUUUUUUUUAUUUAUCUUAUAGGCCAGGGGUUCUCAACCGCUGGUAACUUGAGGCCCACUUCUGAUUGUUAAAACAUUUCCGAGGACCACCUUCCCAAUCAAAUGAGAAACUGGGAUAUAAAUAUGCCCCCGUCCGCUGUAAUGACCCACAUAAAUAUUCAGCUUACCCUCACCCAUCACUGCUUGCCAUUAUGAAUCCAAAGUAUUUAGGGUCAUAUUUCCUCACCACAUGCUUUGGAGCUUUAACUGGUGCACGGUUGUCUCCAAAACGACUUCUUCGUUU